UGGGUGACCUGCCCUCAGCUCUGGGAUAAGCCUGGGAAACUGGGUCUAAUACCGGAUAUUCACUGCCUGUCGCAUGGUGGGUGGUGGAAAGUUUUUUCGGCUGGGGAUGGGCCCGCGGCCUAUCAGCUUGUUGGUGGGGUGAUGGCCUACCAAGGCGACGACGGGUAGCCGGCCUGAGAGGGCGUCCGGCCACACUGGGACUGAGACACGGCCCAGACUCCUACGGAAG
RNAcentral lists this ribosomal RNA (229 nucleotides) under uncultured bacterium. RNAcentral describes it as "partial 16S ribosomal RNA". It matches the Rfam family "Bacterial small subunit ribosomal RNA", at positions 118 to 347 of the family's 1533-position model. The record is from RNAcentral.